Oncorhynchus tshawytscha (Chinook salmon) is the source of this 2450-nucleotide long non-coding RNA. The record is from Ensembl. NCBI's taxonomy places the organism in Eukaryota, Metazoa, Chordata, Actinopteri, Salmoniformes, Salmonidae.
CUGUAGUUGAUUGGUCUCCUCUGUAGUUGAUUGGUCUCCUCUGUAGUUGAUUGGUCUCCUCUGUAGUUGACUGGUCUCCUCUGGUCUCCUCUGUAGUUGACUGGUCUCCUCUGUAGUUGACUGGUCUGCUCUGUAGUUGACUGGUCUCCUCUGUAGUUGAUUGGUCUCCUCUGUAGUUUACUGGUCUCCUCUGGUCUCUGUAGUUGACUGGUAUCCUCUGGUCUCUGUAGAUGACUGGUCUCCUCUGGUCUCUGUAGAUGACUGGUCUCCUCUGGUCUCCUCUGUAGUUUGCUGGUCUCCUCUGGUCUCUGUAGUUGACUGGUCUCCUCUGGUCUCUUCUGUAGUUGACUGGUCUCCUCUGUAGUUGAAUGGUCCCCUCUGGUAUCCUCUGUAGUUGACUGGUCUCCUCUGUAGUUGACUGGUCUCCUCUGUAGUUGAUUGGUCUCCUCUGUAGUUUACUGGUCUCCUCUGGUCUCUGUAGUUGACUGGUCUCCUCUGGUCUCUGUAGUUGACUGGUCUCCUCUGUAGUUGACUGGUCUCCUCUGUAGUUGACUGGUAUCCUCUGGUCUCUGUAGUUGACUGGUCUCCUCUGGUCUCCUCUGUAGUUGACUGGUCUCCUCUGGUCUCCUCUGUAGUUUGCUGGUCUCCUCUGGUCUCUGUAGUUGACUGGUCUCCUCUGGUCUCCUCUGUAGUUGACUGGUCUCCUCUGGUUUCCUCUGUAGUUUGCUAGUCUCCUCUGGUCUCUGUAGUUGACUGGUCUCCUCUGUAGUUGACUGGUCUCCUCUGUAGUUGACUGGUAUCCUCUGGUCUCUGUAGUUGACCGGUCUCCUCUGUAGUUGACUGGUCUCCUCUGUAGUUGACUGGUCUCCUCUGGUCUCUGUAGAUCACUGGUCUCCUCUGUAGUUGACUGGUCUCCUCUGUAGUUGACUGGUCUCCUCUGGUCUCUGUAGAUCACUGGUCUCCUCUGUAGUUGACUGGUCUCCUCUGUAGUUGACUGGUCUCCUCUGUAGUUGACUGGUCUCCUCUGUAGUUGACUGGUCUCCUCUGUAGUUGAUUGGUCUCCUCUGUAGUUUACUGGUCUCCUCUGGUCUCUGUAGUUGACUGGUAUCCUCUGGUCUCUGUAGAUGACUGGUCUCCUCUGGUCUCCUCUGUAGAUGACUGGUCUCCUCUGGUCUCCUCUGUAGUUUGCUGGUCUCCUCUGGUCUCUGUAGUUGACUGGUCUCCUCUGGUCUCUUCUGUAGUUGACCGGUCUCCUCUGUAGUUGACUGGUCUCCUCUGUAGUUGACUGGUCUCCUCUGUAGUUGACUGGUCUCCUCUGGUCUCCUCUGUAGUUGACUGGUCUCCUCUGUAGUUGACGGGUCUCCUCUGUAGUUGACUGGUCUCCUCUGUAGUUGACUGGUCUCCUCUGUAGUUGACUGGUCUCCUCUGUAGUUGACUGGUCUCCUCUGGUCUCCUCUGUAGUUGACUGGUCUCCUCUGGUCUCUUCUGUAGUUGACUGGUCUCCUCUGUAGUUGACUGGUCUCCUCUGUAGUUGACUGGUCUCCUCUGGUCUCCUCUGUAGUUGACGGGUCUCCUCUGUAGUUGACUGGUCUCCUCUGUAGUUGACUGGUCUCCUCUGUAGUUGAUUGGUCUCCUCUGUAGUUUACUGGUCUCCUCUGGUCUCUGUAGUUGACUGGUAUCCUCUGGUCUCUGUAGUUGACUGGUCUCCUCUGGUCUCCUCUGUAGUUGACUGGUCUCCUCUGGUCUCCUCUGUAGUUUGCUGGUCUCCUCUGGUCUCUGUAGUUGACUGGUCUCCUCUGGUCUCCUCUGUAGUUGACUGGUCUCCUCUGGUCUCCUCUGUAGUUUGCUGGUCUCCUCUGGUCUCUGUAGUUGACUGGUCUCCUCUGUAGUUGACUGGUCUCCUCUGUAGUUGACUGAUCUCCUCUGGUCUCCUCUGUAUUUUACUGGUCUCCUCUGUAGUUGACUGGUCUCCUCUGGUCUCUUCUGUAGUUGACUUGUCUCCUCUGUAGUUGACUGGUCUCCUCUGGUCUCCUCUAUAUUUGACUGGUCUCCUCUGAUCUCCACUGUAGUUGACUGGUCUCCUCUGGUCUCUGUAGUUGACUGGUCUCCUCUGGUGUCCUCUGUAGUUGACUGGUCUCCUCUGUAGUUUACUGGUCUCCUCUGUAGUUGACUGGUCUCCUCUGGUCUCUGUAGUUGACUGGUCUCCUCUGUAGGUGACUGGUCUCCUCUGUAGUUGACUGGUCUCCUCUGUUCUCCUCUGCAGUUGACUGGUCUCCUCUGUAGUUGACUGGUCUCCUCUGGUCUCUGUAGUUGACUGGUCUCCUCUGUAGUUGACUGGUCUCCUCUGGUCUCCUCUGUAGUUGACUGGUCUCCUCUGUAGUUGACUGGUCUCCUCUGUAGUUGACUGGUCUCCUCUGGUCUCCUCUGUAGUUGACUGGUCUCCUCUGGUC